CUCCCUGUAUAUGUAGUAGCAUCCCAGUCAGCCGUAGGUAUGUGGGAAGCUUGUCUAACCCCUCCACUGCUCUUUCUUCUCGUUUCCAGGAUUUGCCUGUUAAAUUUCCAGCUGGUCAGCCAGUUUGCUGCUCACUCUAAAGACAACUGCAGUCUCAGGAAGAUUAGCCCUGAGCUAACAUCUGCCGCCAAUCCUCCUCUUUUUGCUGAGAUUUCCAGACUGGCUCUGAGCUAACAUCUGCCGCCAAUCCUCCUCUUUUUGCUGAGAUUUCCAGACUAGCUCUGAGCUAACAUCCAUGCC
This 300-nucleotide long non-coding RNA is filed under the name Equus caballus (horse). Its description in RNAcentral is "lncRNA (ENSECAG00000049446.1)". Lineage: Eukaryota; Metazoa; Chordata; Mammalia; Perissodactyla; Equidae. The record is from RNAcentral.